GGAGAGAUGUCUGAGUGGUUUAAGGUGCACGCUUGGAAAGCGUGUGUGGAGGCAACUCCACCGCGGGUUCAAAUCCCGCUCUCUCCGCAA
This 90-nucleotide transfer RNA is filed under the name Fidelibacterota bacterium. RNAcentral's name for it is "tRNA-Ser". It matches the Rfam family "tRNA". Rfam says of the family: Transfer RNA (tRNA) molecules are approximately 80 nucleotides in length. Their secondary structure includes four short double-helical elements and three loops (D, anti-codon, and T loops). The record is from RNAcentral. Lineage: Bacteria; Pseudomonadati; Fidelibacterota.